Molecule: ribosomal RNA, 785 nt
Filed under: uncultured bacterium
Lineage: Bacteria
Description: bacterial SSU rRNA
Rfam family: Bacterial small subunit ribosomal RNA
Source: RNAcentral
CGUAAAGCGAGCGUAGGUGGCUUGAUAAGUCAGAUGUGAAAGCCCCGGGCUCAACCUGGGAACGGCAUCUGAUACUGUUAGGCUAGAGUAGGUGAGAGGAAGGUAGAAUUCCAGGUGUAUGGGUGAAAUGCGUAGAGAUCUGGAGGAAUACCGAUGGCGAAGGCAGCCUUCUGGCAUCAUACUGACACUGAGGUUCGAAAGCGUGGGUAGCAAACAGGAUUAGAUACCCUGGUAGUCCACGCCGUAAACGAUGUCUACUAGUCGUUGGGUCCCUUGAGGACUUAGUGACGCAGCUAACGCAAUAAGUAGACCGCCUGGGGAGUACGGCCGCAAGGUUAAAACUCAAAUGAAUUGACGGGGGCCCGCACAAGCGGUGGAGCAUGUGGUUUAAUUCGAUGCAACGCGAAGAACCUUACCUGGUCUUGACAUAUCUAGAAUCCUGCAGAGAUGCGGGAGUGCCUUCGGGAAUUAGAAUACAGGUGCUGCAUGGCUGUCGUCAGCUCGUGUCGUGAGAUGUUGGGUUAAGUCCCGCAACGAGCGCAACCCUUGUCCUUAGUUACCAGCGGUUUGGCCGGGAACUCUAAGGAUACUGCCAGUGACAAACUGGAGGAAGGUGGGGACGACGUCAAGUCAUCAUGGCCCUUACGACCAGGGCUACACACGUGCUACAAUGGUAGGUACAGAGGGCAGCUACACAGCGAUGUGAUGCGAAUCUCAAAAAGCCUAUCGUAGUCCAGAUUGGAGUCUGCAACUCGACUCCAUGAAGUAGGAAUCGCUAGUAAUCG